This 836-nucleotide ribosomal RNA is filed under the name uncultured archaeon. RNAcentral describes it as "bacterial SSU rRNA". It matches the Rfam family "Archaeal small subunit ribosomal RNA", at positions 85 to 921 of the family's 1478-position model. The record is from RNAcentral.
ACGGCUCAGUAACACGUGGAUAACCUGCCCUUAGGUUUGGCAUAACUCCGGGAAACUGGAGAUAAUUCCGAAUAGGUCAAAUAUGCUGGAAUGCCUUUUGGCCAAAAGACUUCGGUUGCCUAAGGAUGGAUCUGCGGUCUAUCAGGUAGUAGUGGGUGUAACGUACCUACUAGCCUACGACGGAUAUGGGUUGUGAGAGCAAGAGCCCAGAGAUGGAUUCUGAGACAUGAAUCCAGGCCCUACGGGGCGCAGCAGGCGCGAAAACUUUACAAUGCGGGAAACCGCGAUAAGGGGACACCGAGUGCCAGCAUUUAUGUUGGCUGUCCACAUGUGUAAACGGCAUGUGUUAGCAAGGGCCGGGCAAGACCGGUGCCAGCCGCCGCGGUAACACCGGCGGCCCGAGUGGUAAUCGCUUUUAUUGGGUCUAAAGGGUCCGUAGCCGGUUUGAUCAGUUCUUCGGGAAAUCUGACAGCUCAACUGUUAGGCUUCCGGGGAAUACUGUCAGACUUGGGACCGGGAGAGGUAAGAGGUACUACAGGGGUAGGAGUGAAAUCUUGUAAUCCCUGUGGGACCACCAGUGGCGAAGGCGUCUUACCAGAACGGGUCCGACGGUGAGGGACGAAAGCUGGGGGCACGAACCGGAUUAGAUACCCGGGUAGUCCCAGCCGUAAACGAUGUUCGCUAGGUGUCAGGGGCGGUGCGACCGCUUCCGGUGCCGUAGGGAAGCCGUGAAGCGAACCACCUGGGAAGUACGGCCGCAAGGCUGAAACUUAAAGGAAUUGGCGGGGGAGCACUACAACGGGUGGAGCCUGCGGUUUAAUUGGAAUCAACGCCGG